CCUAGAGGACUAAGAAGGCAGAGCCUGCUCAGCACUGGGCUCUGCUGAUACUGUCCUCUUAGAGAAACCGGAUGGGGAGAGAGGCCCAGCUUGCAGACAUGUACGGGCCUCACUGUGCCAUCCGACACCA
Molecule: non-coding RNA, 130 nt
Organism: Hemicordylus capensis (graceful crag lizard)
Lineage: Eukaryota; Metazoa; Chordata; Lepidosauria; Squamata; Cordylidae
Product: small Cajal body-specific RNA 4
Exons: 1
Source: RefSeq, a predicted model, not a curated record